This 497-nucleotide ribosomal RNA is filed under the name uncultured bacterium. Its description in RNAcentral is "partial 16S ribosomal RNA". It matches the Rfam family "Bacterial small subunit ribosomal RNA", at positions 28 to 507 of the family's 1533-position model. The record is from RNAcentral.
GACGAACGCUGGCGGCGUGCCUAAUACAUGCAAGUUGAGCGAUGAAGAUUGGUGCUUGCACCAAUUUGAAGAGCAGCGAACGGGUGAGUAACGCGUGGGGAAUCUGCCUUUGAGCGGGGGACAACAUUUGGAAACGAAUGCUAAUACCGCAUAACAACUUUAAACAUAAGUUUUAAGUUUGAAAGAUGCAAUUGCAUCACUCAAAGAUGAUCCCGCGUUGUAUUAGCUAGUUGGUGAGGUAAAGGCUCACCAAGGCGAUGAUACAUAGCCGACCUGAGAGGGUGAUCGGCCACAUUGGGACGGAGACACGGCCCAAACUCCUACGGGAGGCAGCAGUAGGGAAUCUUCGGCAAUGGACGAAAGUCUGACCGAGCAACGCCGCGUGAGUGAAGAAGGUUUUCGGAUCGUAAAACUCUGUUGGUAGAGAAGAACGUUGGUGAGAGUGGAAAGCUCAUCAAGUGACGGUAACUACACAGAAAGGGACGGCUAACUACGUG